Long non-coding RNA from Perca fluviatilis (European perch), 1478 nucleotides. RefSeq lists it as uncharacterized. The record is from RefSeq and is a predicted model, not a curated record. The transcript has 3 exons. NCBI's taxonomy places the organism in Eukaryota, Metazoa, Chordata, Actinopteri, Perciformes, Percidae.
GUCCAUUUUAUACUGUCUAUGGUUUCAGCAUAUGAUAGAAAGUUUUAUAAGUCUUACCUACUGCACCUUUAAUCCGUAUUACCUGAACAUUUGAAACUGUAGCCUGGUGGUUUCAUUUUUACCAUUUAAUGUAAAUUUUAUGCUAUACUAUACUAUACUAUGUCUUAGUUCACCUUAGAAGCAGACACCAAUGCUCUGAGUGACUCAAAACCAGGACGGGCAAGUCACGGACAAAUCAAUCAAAGCAAGAGCUUCUGAGAGACAGUCAGGAUCUAUAGUAGCAGCUUCUUUGCCGUGUCAACGGCAAUAAAGAAGAGACGUAUCACUCUGUUGGAGUUGCUGAAACUACAGAACCACUAUAGAAAUCUUCAAAACCCUCACAAAAGAUCUAUUGGCUGGGUCUCAAACACAGACUGGAAAUAGUACACAAACCUGACAAGUUUAAUUUGGGCCUUUUAUCAAGUUAUUCAUGGAAUUAGCGGCAGCUAAUAUGACCUGUUAUAAAACCCAAGAGUCUGAUACAAAAUGUUUACAGUCAGGUGUAGCGAUCAAUCACUUACGCAACACUUUCUAUUUCCUUUGUCCUCAGAGAAACCCUCUCUGGAUGGCCGCCUAGCUGCACUGAUGAGAAGGCAGCCACAGUCACAACGGAUAGAGACAAGAUUUUGAUUAUGCUGCGAGUUCAAAGCAUUCAUAUGGAAACCGGAGAACAGUGACAUCGGGGAGGACCGUGAACGCAUCCCAAGCAGCAAACUGGAGAACAGUGACAUGUUUGACCUGGUGAAUCAGAUGUGGAAGACCUACAUCCAGCAGUCUGUGGAGGUGACCAUGAAGGUUUUAAAGCAAAUAGACAGGAAUGAUCUGGUGCAGAUAUUGUCAGUCACCAGCUCAUGAUCCAAAGAGAAACUCUGUGGAUGAACAGCUGUCUGCACGGAUCCAGAGUGAGCAGAGGCGCAUCUGUGUCUGACUCUACACACAGCUUUUAUUCAAUGCAUGCAUGGUUGAAAAUCAACUUGAGCUGAAUAUUGCAAGUUUUUAAAACAACUUUUAAAAUGAUUGUAACUAUUUUAAAGCAUGAAAACAGAUCAUGAGUUCUUUUAGCUUCCCUUAUAGCAACAGAUCAGGUGGCUCAUUCCAGGGUUUUUUAGCAGCACAGUGUUUACAGUUUACAGAAUGUAAAGGGAUACAGGGAAUCAUCUUGUUUAAAUGUAAGCACAUAUCAGUAUUUCAGCUACACUACAGAAAUGGAACAAAAGAAAUCUACCCCAAUGGUUCUCAAAACAUCUGAUGUAGUGUACGCAUUAACUCUGAGGUUAUUGGGGUAAAAAAAAUGCAAAUACUUGCCUCACAUGUUUGAGAUUCAAAGAGAUACAUCCUUGAUUAUUUUUGUGGAUAAAUUACAUAGUAUAUGGAUAUGCCUUUAUGUACAUUUUUAUUUUUCCAUUUAAAAUCAUUGAUGUUUUUUUAUAGUUUUUUUA